CCUAUGGUGGCUGCAGUGGGGAAUAUUGGACAAUGGGCGAAAGCCUGAUCCAGCCAUGCCGCGUGUGUGAAGAAGGCCUUCGGGUUGUAAAGCACUUUCAGUGGGGAAGAAAGCCUUGGGGCUAAUACCCUCGAGGAAGGACAUCACCCACAGAAGAAGCACCGGCUAACUCCGUGCCAGCAGCCGCGGUAAUACGGAGGGUGCGAGCGUUAAUCGGAAUUACUGGGCGUAAAGCGCGCGUAGGCGGUCUGAUAAGCCGGUUGUGAAAGCCCCGGGCUCAACCUGGGAACGGCAUCCGGAACUGUCAGGCUAGAGUGCAGGAGAGGAAGGUAGAAUUCCCGGUGUAGCGGUGAAAUGCGUAGAGAUCGGGAGGAAUACCAGUGGCGAAGGCGGCCUUCUGGACUGACACUGACGCUGAGGUGCGAAAGCGUGGGUAGCAAACAGGAUUAGAUACCCUAGUAGUC
This 464-nucleotide ribosomal RNA is filed under the name Vreelandella stevensii. RNAcentral describes it as "partial 16S ribosomal RNA". It matches the Rfam family "Bacterial small subunit ribosomal RNA", at positions 338 to 795 of the family's 1533-position model. Lineage: Bacteria; Pseudomonadati; Pseudomonadota; Gammaproteobacteria; Oceanospirillales; Halomonadaceae. The record is from RNAcentral.